This 515-nucleotide long non-coding RNA is filed under the name Elaeis guineensis (African oil palm). RNAcentral describes it as "long non-coding RNA (EGUI_LNC005140)". Lineage: Eukaryota; Viridiplantae; Streptophyta; Magnoliopsida; Arecales; Arecaceae. The record is from RNAcentral.
AGGAUCAAAAAUCUGAUCUCCAAAUCGAGACAAGUCCCAAAGGAUCAAAAAUCCAAUCUUCGAAUUGAGACAAGUUUCAAAGGACCAAAUUAUCGAUCUUCAAAUCGAAACAAGUCCCAAAAGAUCAAGAAUAUCGAUCUUUGGAUCGAGAUAAGUCUCAAAGGACCAAAAAUUCGAUCUCCGAAUCGAGAUAAGUUCCAAAGGACUAAAAUACUGAUCUCCAGAUCAAGACAACUCCCAAAGGUUCAAAAUAUCUAUCACCAGAUCUACAUAAGUCUCAAUAGGACCAAAAAUCCGAUCUCCAAAUAGAUAAAGCCCUAAUAGGCCAAAUCUCCUUGAGGACCAAAAUAUCGAUCUCCAGAUCGAGAUAAGUCUCGAAAGGAUCAAGAUCAAGUGAGAUAUUCAAUCUCCAGAUUGGACCUCAUAAAAAUUCAAAGUUUUGAUGAGACCAAAGUCUCGAAAGGGCCAAGAUCAAAAAUGAAAUAUCUGAUCUCCAGAUUGGACCUCACAAAAUG